This is a long non-coding RNA of Myotis davidii, 747 nucleotides long. RefSeq lists it as uncharacterized. The record is from RefSeq and is a predicted model, not a curated record. The transcript is spliced from 3 exons. Lineage: Eukaryota; Metazoa; Chordata; Mammalia; Chiroptera; Vespertilionidae.
AUGAGGUCAAUCACCAACCCUUGAACGUGGGCUGGCCUUUGGACCUGCCCUGGCCAACAGUGUGGCGGAAGUGAUGUGUGCAUUCCCGAGGCUCCGCCCACGGAGACCUGGCAGACUUUACUCUCUGCCCAGCUGCCAGGUGAAGAGGCCGGGCUAGCCUGUCGGAGGGCAAGAGACACAUGCCCGUCACCGCCAUCAUCGCAGCCACCCACACCUGGAGGUAGAGCCACCCACUCAGCUGACCUCCAGCUGACCACAGGCACCCAGAUGCUGCAACCACGUCUCGGACCCCCAGACCUUCCCCGGGCGACCUUUCCACUCCCCUGGGAUGGAGGGAAGUCUGUGACUGCUGCAACCAGGGCAGGGCACAGACGGGCCGCGAGGUGACUUCCGAGGCGAGUCACCUGCAACUCAGGCAAUUCAGCUUCUGCCUUGUCCACUGGGACGUCGGGCCUGAGAGCCAUCAGAAAGGAGUCGGACUCCCCUGAGGCCACCAUGCUGGGGGGACGCCAGAGCUCGUCGCCUGAAGAGACCAUGAGCAGGCACUCUGGCUGAUGGUCGUACCUGGAGCCACCCCAGCCCAGAGCCAAGCGAGUGUGUGGACAGGCCGCUGCCCCCGCCUGUGCGUCUCCCAGCCCAGACCCAACGUCGUGGAGCAGAGACCCACUGGGUCAAAUUCCAGUUGUCCAGGUUGUUCACGCACAAAGGAACCCGCCACGGGGACCAGAGGGGCCAAAAUCCAGUGAG